ACUACGGGAGGCAGCAGUGGGGAAUAUUGGGCAAUGGGCGCAAGCCUGACCCAGCAACGCCGCGUGAAGGAAGAAGGCUUUCGGGUUGUAAACUUCUUUUCUCAGGGACGAAGCAAGUGACGGUACCUGAGGAAUAAGCCACGGCUAACUACGUGCCAGCAGCCGCGGUAAUACGUAGGUGGCAAGCGUUAUCCGGAUUUACUGGGUGUAAAGGGCGUGUAGGCGGGAAAGCAAGUCAGAUGUGAAAACCAUGGGCUCAACCUGUGGCCUGCAUUUGAAACUGUUUUUCUUGAGUACUGGAGAGGCAGACGGAAUUCCUAGUGUAGCGGUGAAAUGCGUAGAUAUUAGGAGGAACACCAGUGGCGAAGGCGGUCUGCUGGACAGCAACUGACGCUGAGGCGCGAAAGCGUGGGGAGCAAACAGGAUUAGAUACCCUUGUAGUC
Molecule: ribosomal RNA, 443 nt
Filed under: uncultured bacterium
Lineage: Bacteria
Description: partial 16S ribosomal RNA
Rfam family: Bacterial small subunit ribosomal RNA
Source: RNAcentral